CCUGGUAACCACCCCCCACUCCGGUCACCUCCACUCCCCUCCCCCCCUCCAAUCACCGCUACCAACAACCUCCAUCCACCUUCCUCCUAUUUUUCCUGAGAGCCAAUAGAAACACUGUUGCCAGGUGGAAUGCUCAUUUGAAUCAGCCAAUCCAGGAGUCUAACUGCUUGCCCUGCCUUAUAUGGGGAUUUGAGGAGGGCCACUCCCCCCACUCCAGCCCCACAGGGGACCAGCCUCUCCACUGUCCUUUCUCCCCGCCCUGGAGAGAGCCUGGGACCCUCCCUGUCACCCUCGUGGAGAAGCAUCUCUUAGCCUUUCCUGCCUGGUUGGACAACAGACCCGGCCUCCUGACAUCUGGGCUUCAUGAGAAAGAAGCUAGAAGUGGAACUUGGGAUGAAUUUGGAGCGAGUGGGAUGCUGAAAGCCUAACGCCAUAGUCCUUAGGGUUAGUGUCUGGGCCUUUGGGGCCAGUGGUGUUAAAUGAUGCCAGCUUGUGCGUGCUCCUUCCAGAGAACUACUUCUGGGACCUUGUAGAGGCUUGCCUAUUCCUAGAGUUCCAUUACUCCUCAGUCCAACUGAGAAUUUCUCCCACUAGUUGAAUGGGGCAACCUGGUGCUUCAUACACAUUUUCUGGAGGUGGGAAGAAGGAAGCCAGGUGAGAACAAGGGAGGCAUGAGCGCCCUGGAGACCAUGGCUGCUGGCCUGACAUCCUAGAGAUUUACCUCACUACUGUGUGAAAGGUGUUCAAUUCUAGCUCUUGCCAUCUUAUUCUUAAGUGAAUUCUUCCUUGUCUCCAGCUUCCUGAGUUUUUUCAGCUUGCCUGUUUUUCUGAUAAGUUAAGUGCUAAGGAAGCCCUGGUGAUCCUUGGAGGCAUUGGACGACAGAAACGUGAAAAUUGAACCUCCGUACUCCUCACUGUACUUUUUUAUCCCCAUUCCACUUCCAGUAUAACUCAUUUUCUAUUCCUCAUUUUUCCUUUCCUUUCUUUUUUCUUUUUUUAAUCUUUUCAAAACUCA
RNAcentral lists this long non-coding RNA (1015 nucleotides) under Zalophus californianus (California sea lion). Its description in RNAcentral is "lncRNA (ENSZCAG00015005474.1)". Lineage: Eukaryota; Metazoa; Chordata; Mammalia; Carnivora; Otariidae. The record is from RNAcentral.